This 484-nucleotide ribosomal RNA is filed under the name uncultured bacterium. RNAcentral describes it as "partial 16S ribosomal RNA". It matches the Rfam family "Bacterial small subunit ribosomal RNA", at positions 30 to 507 of the family's 1533-position model. The record is from RNAcentral.
AUUGAACGCUGGCGGCAGGCCUAACACAUGCAAGUCGAGCGGAUGAAGGGAGCUUGCUCCUGGAUUCAGCGGCGGACGGGUGAGUAAUGCCUAGGAAUCUGCCUGGUAGUGGGGGAUAACGUCCGGAAACGGGCGCUAAUACCGCAUACGUCCUGAGGGAGAAAGUGGGGGAUCUUCGGACCUCACGCUAUCAGAUGAGCCUAGGUCGGAUUAGCUAGUUGGUGGGGUAAAGGCCUACCAAGGCGGCGAUCCGUAACUGGUCUGAGAGGAUGAUCAGUCACACUGGAACUGAGACACGGUCCAGACUCCUACGGGAGGCAGCAGUGGAGAAUAUUGGACAAUGGGCGAAAGCCUGAUCCAGCCAUGCCGCGUGUGUGAAGAAGGUCUUCGGAUUGUAAAGCACUUUAAGUUGGGAGGAAGGGCAGUAAGUUAAUACCUUGCUGUUUUGACGUUACCAACAGAAUAAGCACCGGCUAACUUCGUG